RNAcentral lists this ribosomal RNA (309 nucleotides) under uncultured bacterium. RNAcentral's name for it is "bacterial SSU rRNA". It matches the Rfam family "Bacterial small subunit ribosomal RNA", at positions 28 to 334 of the family's 1533-position model. The record is from RNAcentral.
GAUGAACGCUAGCUACAGGCUUAACACAUGCAAGUCGAGCGAUGAAGUUUCCUUCGGGAAACGGAUUAGCGGCGGACGGGUGAGUAACACGUGGGUAACCUGCCUCAUAGAGUGGAAUAGCCUUCCGAAAGGAAGAUUAAUACCGCAUAAUGUUGAAAGAUGGCAUCAUCAUUCAACCAAAGGAGCAAUCCGCUAUGAGAUGGACCCGCGGCGCAUUAGCUAGUUGGUGGGGUAACGGCCUACCAAGGCGACGAUGCGUAGCCGACCUGAGAGGGUGAUCGGCCACAUUGGGACUGAGACACGGCCCAG